GACUCUUUGACGUCACGCGUUACCUAGUACCACAAAAAAGACAGGCUAUUCAUGGAGAAACCGGUCUCAGAUGAAGAAAUUUUGACAUUGGCGAGUGCUACGACUUAACGUGGAGUUCAGAGGCGGGUUUGCACAACCAACAGAUGUUCUGUGAUGUCAGCUGCAGUGAGGGGGAGGCGAAAAAAUGGGAACGCUAAAAAGAAGUAGGAGGAAGGUGUCAGAACUCUAAUCACCAUGCAGCACUCAGAGAGAAAUCUAUUGUAUCUCUUAGCACAAACACUGGCUUUGAGUCACAGUUACAACGCCAGCUCACUGAUCCAGAGAAGAUAAAUUACACAUGCUGUCAUCCAGACCAACGUACAGCUCCAUUCGGGUGCUCAAUAAAUUAUGCAAAAGAGCCUAACAGCAAGAAAAUGACCGUGCUAUUUGCUGUCACUUCAGACGAUUUGUAUUAUGACAUUUCACGAACGCUUGGCCAAUUGCACUAGAUCUAUUGCACAAACUAAAUAAUAGUUUCUCUAGUUUCUCCACUCCAGCUAUGGGAUUUAGUUAUUCAUUAAACCACCCACAUAACAAGUGCAAAACACAGCUCAGGACAUGAACAGCUCAUUUAGUUUAGUGUGUGUGUGUGUCAGCACUGUGUAGUUUUACACCCGCAUGCCUACAAAACCAGGAGUACUUUCCAAAACAACUAUGUGUACAUAACAUGUCACAAAUUAUUUCCACUGCAGUCAGUCCAGUAGAUGCAAAAAUGCUAUCAUAUUACAACAAAUAUAUCUAUUAUCCAUAUAAUAACUAUAGUACGUUUACAGAUAACAUGUUUAUUUAGUGCAUCUUACAUCUUAAAUACUAUUUUAAAAUGAACCAUUUAGAAUUUGUUUUAAUAUAUUUAAAAUACAUUUCCACAAUUUUAAUUCAGAUAGAAGCGUUAUCGGCCACCUCCACCUAUUGUGGGAUUGAACAAAGGACAUGUCUUUUGAGAUGCUAUUCUAGACCUUUUACAGUACUACUACCGUAGUAUGUACAAUGUAUUAUUAUGCCUUUCAGUUAAGUCUAAGAUCAUAACAUCAUUGGCUUGUUUUGAUAAAAGAUGCACGCUUUGCAAUGUCUCUCUAGUUCAGGAUCGUUUCCACUACUAACGGAUGUCUCAAAAAUGUAGGUUGCAAUCUUGGUUACAGCUUAAUCAGACCUCAAUUCGCUGACUGACAAUUAGUCAGCUUCCCUUGUGUUAGAGGAACUGUCAUAAAGGGCAAUAAAACAAACACACACACUAUCUGACACUGAGGGUGUGACCUGUCAAGACAUGUCAGCAUUACCAGUGUCUAGGCUGAAAUACCAUAUGGUAUCUUAACAAUAAGAAAGAGGAAUCAGUAACUAAAUAGUUCAACCCGAAAUGAAAAAUCUUGACUUAAAGAAAUGACUUUCUUCUGUGAAACACAAAAUGAAAAGGUUUAUAAUGUUUGCGCUGCUGCUUUCUGAUCAAUUCAAGUUAAAGUUGACACACACUGAAUGACUUCAGUUUCACUGUGUUCAUCUUUACAAUACUUCUAUAAUGCUUUUCCAUCCUUUUUGAACAUUUACUGCUUGUGGUCACUUUUAUUUAUUCACUGCAUUCAUCUUUUUGUGUUCCAUGGAGGAAAAAGGUCAAAUGGGACAUAGAAUUUGGACAUAUUUCUUUCGUAAUCAGGAACAUAGACACAGUCCUUCUGAAACUUAAUGAGUUUAUACUGAUUUACAGAACAUCUCGGUUCCUGAAGAAGAGGAGAUGCACAUCUAAUAUGACUUCAAUCUGGCAUGUGGCUUUGUCUUGACUGCAGUUGCAGUUGCUCGCCCCGAGGCACUGUCAUUUGAAGAUGAGAAAGAGCUGUAAGAUGUGGAAAUGGCCUCUGAAGAUCAAACAACUAUCCCUUUCCCCCCCAUGUCACAAGGAAAGAGGAAGAUAUGACAUGCUGAGACAUCAGUCUAGUCAAAAAAAACUCAAGGUGUCAAGAGAGCAGCUCGGUGUGUGGAUGGAAUUGGAAGUUAGAGUGUGAAGGGGGCAGAGAAGGAAAAAGGGAAGGGUGCGAGGUAAAAGAAAGAGACUGUUGACUCAAAUCAGACAGCAGCGGAGGCCAAGCCCAGUCAUAUGGCUCGAGGAUUUCUGGACCUGCUGUGCUUGGAGAGGAAAGCACAUCAUCAUCUGCUGCAUUCCAUCCACACACAUGUCUCGAAUCAGCACUGGACACCAGCUCAGAGUUUAAGCCAGUUAAUAGGUUUGCCAGUUUUGUGCUUUCUGAAGUUAGGAGGAGAAGGUAAACUGGGGGAGGAAAAUAAAUCACUGUGUAAAAAGACAAUCUUAUACCCCAAAUCCUUAUUGUCCAAUCUGGCCACGUUACAUGCAUUUUCUACCAAAAAGAAGGGUGUUUUGGCCUUUAAAAAAUUGUCUUAAUUAAAGUCAAUCCCUGAAGCA
Molecule: long non-coding RNA, 2449 nt
Organism: Carassius gibelio (silver crucian carp)
Lineage: Eukaryota; Metazoa; Chordata; Actinopteri; Cypriniformes; Cyprinidae
Exons: 4
Source: RefSeq, a predicted model, not a curated record